This 106-nucleotide small nuclear RNA is filed under the name Notamacropus eugenii (tammar wallaby). Lineage: Eukaryota; Metazoa; Chordata; Mammalia; Diprotodontia; Macropodidae. The record is from RNAcentral.
GUGCUCACUUCAAGUACAUAUAUUAAAUUUAGAACUAUACAGAGAAGAUUAGCAUGGCCCUUUGUGUAGGGAUGACAUGCAGAUUCAUGAAGCCUUCUAUAUUUUU